RNAcentral lists this ribosomal RNA (374 nucleotides) under uncultured bacterium. RNAcentral's name for it is "bacterial SSU rRNA". It matches the Rfam family "Bacterial small subunit ribosomal RNA", at positions 523 to 898 of the family's 1533-position model. The record is from RNAcentral.
ACACGUACUGUGCGAACGUUAUUCGGAAUCACUGGGCUUAAAGGGUGCGUAGGCGGCGAUUCAAGUCAGAUGUGAAAUGCCUGAGCUCAACUGAGGCAUUGCGUUUGAAACUGAACCGCUAGAGUAUUUCAGGGGUGUGCGGAACUGCCAGUGGAACGGUGAAAUGUGUUGAUAUUGGCAGGAACACCGGAGGCGAAAGCGGCACACUGGGGAAUAACUGACGCUGAGGCACGAAAGCCAAGGGGGCGAACGGGAUUAGAUACCCCGGUAGUCUUGGCCGUAAACGAUGAGUACUGGGCGGGAGGGGGUUUCCCCUUUCUGCCGUAGCGAAAGCGUUAAGUACUCCGCCUGGGGAGUAUGGUCGCAAGGCUGAA